Molecule: long non-coding RNA, 1069 nt
Filed under: Anas platyrhynchos platyrhynchos (common mallard)
Lineage: Eukaryota; Metazoa; Chordata; Aves; Anseriformes; Anatidae
Description: lncRNA (ENSAPLG00000029047.1)
Source: RNAcentral
AACCAACUCUGGGUGAGACCCAAAUGUCCUUCAUCCUCCUUUGAGCCCUGGUUUCUGUGGGAAGAAAACGAAGAUGUAAAAAAGGAUCAAAAUAUACUAUUGUCAGACCCCUAUCCUGCACUGCUAGGAGGUGAGGACCAUUUAGGUGUACAUUUGUUCAUAAUCUAGACAUAGUCUAGAAGACGCUGUCAGAUGUUGUCAUAAUCUCAACAAUGACUAAAGACAUUUCAGGCUUCAGAAGGACCAAAAUGAAUAAUGAAGUUGCAAGCAGACCUCACAUACAAAAUGCAGCUACAGAUUAUUUCAGACCUUAGGGGAAAAAAUGAUAUUAUAAAACAUUCCUCUGCCCACCUGUGCUAUGCCCAAUGUGAUCCAAGCUAAAUCCUUACAGCAAUGCAGCUAAUAAACAUCCAGUGCACAGGUGGGCCAGACACAAGCUCUGUGUGAAUAAGUGUGUGCACGGGAGAGAAAGCAAGGCUGGAUUCUCAGUGUACUGGCUGCUGAAUUAUAUUUAAUGAUUUACAGUCCAUGAAGACACCGUGUGGAGUGAUGAAGAAUAGCAGGUUUGUAGGAGAAGUCAGAACAAAACUAGAAUUAUGACCAGAUACAUUUUGUUAAGUCUGAAAGCAUUUGGGCCAAGAAAAUAACUUUCUGUACUUGGAAGAAAGGCAGAAACAAACAAGCAGUGCAGGCAGAGGACAGCGGAGAGUCACAAGCUGACAUUGUUGGGAUAUGACACCAUAAAAAAGUGCAGUAAAAAAGAAAUGUCCUUGCAUUAUUCUUUCUUUGCAGAGCUGAGUACACAGUAAUAACCUAAGAGCUGCACAUUAUUUUUGCUCAUUGUUGGAUGGGAACUGUCCCAACAGCAGCAAUUCAGGUUGUAUUUCAGACUUUAAUUCCACUGGACCUUAUAAAAAGAUUAUUUAGUAUAUUUGAAUUUGAUUUUGAGAUAUUUUUUUCUUAAUUAUGAAAAAUCAUCUCUUACAGAGAUGAUUUCCCUGAAUUUUAAAUAGACCCUAUACCUUAAGUGGAAAAAAAAAAAUGCUGAAACUAUCUGUGGUGACUCUUU